Molecule: ribosomal RNA, 274 nt
Filed under: uncultured bacterium
Lineage: Bacteria
Description: partial 16S ribosomal RNA
Rfam family: Bacterial small subunit ribosomal RNA
Source: RNAcentral
AUACGGAGGGUGCAAGCGUUAAUCGGAAUUACUGGGCGUAAAGGGCGCGUAGGCGGUUAAAUCAGUCAGAUGUGAAAGCCCCGGGCUUAACCUGGGAAUGGCAUUUGAUACUGUUUAGCUAGAGUUUGAUAGAGGGGAGUGGAAUUUCCGGUGUAGCGGUGAAAUGCGUAGAUAUCGGAAGGAACAUCAGUGGCGAAGGCGACUUCCUGGAUCAAGACUGACGCUAAGGUGCGAAAGCUAGGGUAGCAAACGGAAUUAGAAACCCCGGUAGUCC